RNAcentral lists this ribosomal RNA (1014 nucleotides) under Triticum aestivum (bread wheat). RNAcentral's name for it is "partial small subunit ribosomal RNA". Lineage: Eukaryota; Viridiplantae; Streptophyta; Magnoliopsida; Poales; Poaceae. The record is from RNAcentral.
AUGAAGCUCUCACUCGCUUUCACGGCUGUAGUCAUCUUCUUCCUCAACAUUCCACCGUUCGAGGCCAGACCCAGACCACUUGGCCUUGGUGCGCAUCCCUCUCGCCAUUACCAACUCAAUUCCGAGGAACAGCAAAGGAACAUCCCUAUCGCGGGUAAGGAAGAACAUCUGCGCCUCUCUCCGCUGCCUCGCCCGGGAGCAGCAGGGGAGGCCGGAGAGGCGGCUCUGGUGAGCUACGAACCGGGACGGAGGAGCGGUGACGCCGAGGAGGAAGCCGUCCCAGGAACCCCGCCGGAUGAUGAGUUGCGCCGGUCAGCAGCGCACUCGCCGCCGGCACAGGAGCGCAACCCGGCGCACUAUCGUCAGCCAGCUGGGCGGUGGGGUCCCGUGCCCGGGGUUGGUGGGUCGCGCAAGCCGUCUCGGCCCCCGGCGCCUGGUGUGCCGAAGCCGCCGCACUGGCGCCGCUCAGGUGAUCGGUCCGGCCCGAGGCCGAGGCCGUUCGAUGUGUUCCACGCGCUUCCAUUGAGGCGACGGCCGGCAGGGCUGAUAGAGAUUGCAGGCUCUGAGGCUGCGGCGGCGCCGGCGCCGGCGGGGGCAGCAGUCACCAGCACGAGGAGCGAGGGGAGCUGCUAUAGUGAUUGGGAGAAGGUGAUGGAAGAAGGGCCCUAUAUCUUCCAUGGCAAUGACAGUUUCAUGACCCUUCAAAAAAAUGAGGGUUUCAUGAAACCCUCAUUAGAAAUUUGCAUUCAAAUCCAUGAUUUGAUCGACAUCAACAGUAAGGAAAGGGAAACGUUUGCGCGCAGUGCGCCGACGGAACGCUCGGGCCGGUCACUUUGCCACGCUGGCGCUAGCCAUCAGGAAGCCAACACGUGUAUUCUUUAUCCUCUUCCCAAUGCUGCAUCUACUCCUUCUUCCCCGCGACUGUCCAGGCAACGAACUCUAUGGAUCCAGGCGGGCCUGCAGCUCCUGCCUCCGAUGCUGUUCGUGCGCCCCAAGGGGCUGUUGGAAAUAUGA